Molecule: long non-coding RNA, 340 nt
Organism: Gadus chalcogrammus (walleye pollock)
Lineage: Eukaryota; Metazoa; Chordata; Actinopteri; Gadiformes; Gadidae
Exons: 3
Source: RefSeq, a predicted model, not a curated record
GCUGGACAUCCUUAGGUGUGGUAGGGGGUCCUCCUCCCUGGAGAGUUUCCACCGGCACCAGUGUGCUUUCAUUCCAGGCUGGCGGUGCAAUGCGGUGCACAUGCAAAUGUACAUGCUGGAGGGUAUAUCAAGGUGGAACAUGGGCCGGGCCAAGGAGGCAGUAGAUGUGGAGGGGGCCUCCACCCUAAGAAGCUUCGAUGUUCGGUUGAUGUCCCACCUUAACAACCUAAGCCAGCGUGUGCAUGGUUGUGCUCUGGUGCCAGAGUUCACCCUUCCUGGGAAACCUACUGGCGAACGCAUAGCCGUGGAAUAUUUAUUGGAGCAGACCAAUAGAGGCGAC